GUUGGAGACUGACUGUAGCACUAUCAUCACAGACUGCAUUCAAAGACUUUCACCAUGACUGUUAUAACCAGCCUGCUUCUGAUUACAGUCUUCUUUACAAGUGUUGAAGGUCAGACACUGACUGAGUCUGAACCAGCAGUUAAAAAGCCUGGACAAUCUCACAAACUGACCUGUACAGCCUCUGGGUUCACAUUCAGCAGCUACUGGAUGGGCUGGAUCAGACAGGCUCCUGGGAAGGGGCUGGAGUGGAUCUCAAUCAUUGAAUAUGACAGUGAUAGGAAAUACUACUCUAAGUCUGUUCAAGGAAGAUUCACAAAUAGCAGAGACAACAGCAAGAACCAGCUGUAUUUACACAUGAGCAGCCUGACAGCUGAAGACACUGCUGUGUAUUACUGUGCCAGUGCUGGUUAA
Non-coding RNA from Conger conger (European conger), 411 nucleotides. NCBI's taxonomy places the organism in Eukaryota, Metazoa, Chordata, Actinopteri, Anguilliformes, Congridae. The record is from the annotation of a RefSeq genome assembly.